Molecule: ribosomal RNA, 858 nt
Filed under: uncultured bacterium
Lineage: Bacteria
Description: bacterial SSU rRNA
Rfam family: Bacterial small subunit ribosomal RNA
Source: RNAcentral
AGAACGAACGCUGAUGGCGUGCCUCAUACAUGCAAGUCGAGCGGCUCUUCGGAGUAGCGGCGAACGGGUGAGUAACACGUAAAUAAUCUGCCCCUCAGUCGGGGAUAACCAGCCUAACGGCUGACUAAUACCGAAUAUUGAUAACGACCGUAGGGUGUGUUAUCGAAAGGCUUCGGUCGCUGAGGGAUGAGUUUGCGGUGCAUUAGCUUGUUGGAGGGGUAACGGCCCACCAAGGCUUCGAUGCAUAGCCGGCCUGAGAGGGUGAACGGCCACAUUGGGACUGAGAUACGGCCCAGACUCCUACGGGAGGCAGCAGUAGGGAAUUUUGCGCAAUGGGGGGAACCCUGACGCAGCAACGCCAUGUGAGGGAUGAAGCAUUUAGGUGUGUAAACCUCUGUCAGUAGGGAAUAAAUACGAGUUUACUCGGGUUGAAUGUACCUACAAAGGAAGCACCGGCUAACUUCGUGCCAGCAGCCGCGGUAAUACGAGGGGUGCAAGUGUUGUUCGGAAUUACUGGGCGUAAAGGGAGCGUAGGCGGAAGCUUAAGUCAGAUGUUUAAUUUCGGGGCCCAACCCCGAAUUUGCGUUUGAAACUGGGUUUCUUGAAUAUAUGUAGAGGUGAAUGGAAUUCCCGGUGUAGCGGUGGAAUGCGUAGAUAUCGGGAGGAACACCAGUUGCGAAGGCGAUUCACUGGACUAAUAUUGACGCUGAGGCUCGAAAGCGUGGGGAGCGAACAGGAUUAGAUACCCUGGUAGUCCACGCCGUAAUCGAUGAAUACUAGGUGCUGGGUUGGUUAACGACUUGGUGCCGUAAGCAAACGCGUUAAGUAUUCCGCCUGGGGAGUACGCUCGCGAGAGUG